UCUGGUGUCAGCCGCCGCGGUAAAACCAGCACCUCAAGUGGUCAGGAUGAUUAUUGGGCCUAAAGCAUCCGUAGCCGGCGCUGUAAGUUUUCGGUUAAAUCUGUACGCUCAACGUACAGGCUGCCGGGAAUACUGCAGCGCUAGGGAGUGGGAGAGGUAGACGGUACUCGGUAGGAAGGGGUAAAAUCCUUUGAUCUAUUGAUGACCACCUGUGGCGAAGGCGGUCUACCAGAACACGUCCGACGGUGAGGGAUGAAAGCUGGGGGAGCAAACCGGAUUAGAUACCCGGGUAGUCCCAGCUGUAAACUAUGCAAACUCAGUGAUGCAUUGGCUUGUGGCCAAUGCAGUGCUGCAGGGAAGCCGUUAAGUUUGCCGCCUGGGAAGUACGUACGCAAGUAUGAAACUUAAAGGAAUUGGCGGGGGAGCACCACAAGGGGUGAAGCCUGCGGUUCAAUUGGAGUCAACGCCAGAAAUCUUACCCGGAGAGACAGCAGAAUGAAGGUCAAGCUGAAGACUUUACCAGACAAGCU
This 530-nucleotide ribosomal RNA is filed under the name uncultured Nitrososphaerota archaeon. RNAcentral's name for it is "bacterial SSU rRNA". It matches the Rfam family "Archaeal small subunit ribosomal RNA", at positions 451 to 981 of the family's 1478-position model. The record is from RNAcentral. Lineage: Archaea; Thermoproteati; Nitrososphaerota.